GGAUUAGAUACCCUGGUAGUCCUAGCUGUAAACGAUGGAUACUAGACGUAGGAACUGGAUUGACGGUUUCUGUGUCGCAGCUAACGCGUUAAGUAUCCCGCCUGGGGAGUACGGUCGCAAGACUAAAACUCAAAGGAAUUGACGGGGACCCGCACAAGCGGUGGAACAUGUGGUUUAAUUCGAUGAUACGCGAAGAACCUUACCAACGUUUGACAUCCUCAUCGCGAUUUCCAGAGAUGGAUUUCUUCAGUUCGGCUGGAUGAGUGACAGGUGCUGCAUGGCUGUCGUCAGCUCGUGCCG
This 300-nucleotide ribosomal RNA is filed under the name uncultured bacterium. Its description in RNAcentral is "bacterial SSU rRNA". It matches the Rfam family "Bacterial small subunit ribosomal RNA", at positions 775 to 1067 of the family's 1533-position model. The record is from RNAcentral.